UACGGAGGGAGCUAGCGUUAUUCGGAAUUACUGGGCGUAAAGCGCACGUAGGCGGGUGGUUAAGUCAGGGGUGAAAUCCCGGAGCUCAACUCCGGAACUGCCUUUGAUACUGGCCAUCUAGAGAUCGGAAGAGGUGAGUGGAAUUCCCAGUGUAGAGGUGAAAUUCGUAGAUAUUGGGAAGAACACCAGUGGCGAAGGCGGCUCACUGGUCCGAUACUGACGCUGAGGUGCGAAAGCGUGGGGAGCAAACAGG
This 253-nucleotide ribosomal RNA is filed under the name uncultured bacterium. RNAcentral describes it as "partial 16S ribosomal RNA". It matches the Rfam family "Bacterial small subunit ribosomal RNA", at positions 524 to 776 of the family's 1533-position model. The record is from RNAcentral.